This 484-nucleotide ribosomal RNA is filed under the name uncultured bacterium. Its description in RNAcentral is "partial 16S ribosomal RNA". It matches the Rfam family "Bacterial small subunit ribosomal RNA", at positions 30 to 507 of the family's 1533-position model. The record is from RNAcentral.
AUUGAACGCUGGCGGCAGGCCUAACACAUGCAAGUCGAGCGGAUGAAGGGAGCUUGCUCCUGGAUUCAGCGGCGGACGGGUGAGUAAUGCCUAGGAAUCUGCCUGGUAGUGGGGGAUAACGUCCGGAAACGGGCGCUAAUACCGCAUACGUCCUGAGGGAGAAAGUGGGGGAUCUUCGGACCUCACGCUAUCAGAUGAGCCUAGGUCGGAUUAGCUAGUUGGUGGGGUAAAGGCCUACCAAGGCGACGAUCCGUAACUGGUCUGAGAGGAUGAUCAGUCACACUGGAACUGAGACGCGGUCCAGACUCCUACGGGAGGCAGCAGUGGGGAAUAUUGGACAAUGGGCGAAAGCCUGAUCCAGCCAUGCCGCGUGUGUGAAGAAGGUCUUCGGAUUGUAAAGAACUUUAAGUUGGGAGGAAGGGCAGUAAGUUAAUACCUUGCUGUUUUGACGUUACCAACAGAAUAAGCACCGGCUAACUUCGUG